AGUGCGUUUUCGUUAAACUAUAGGCUGUGGCGAGCUCGCAGCGUGGUCGGCGUGGUCUGUGAGAAGUGACGAGCCUUUUCGCAUUCGCAACAGGGCAUAACAAAGUGCGAAUCGACGCAAAACUCGGCCUAGAAACGUGCUUCGCCACAACCAGGGCUCAAUACAACCCAAGCUGGCAUGACCCAACGAGCACAUCGAAAUUGGACUUCACCGCUCUUUCUGCGCACGCGCGAGGAGCAGUGGUUGCGAGAGAGAAAUGUGGGGACUUUAGGUGCUCAAAAUUUCUCGUCGUUUAGGUACUAUGGGGAAGAAAACCGUUUGCUCCGUUUGUCCCUAGCCGAGCUUGCAGCACAGAAUCGACAGGAUGCGUGGCCGGCAAGGCGAAAAAGCCGCGUCCGAGCUGUCAUCUUCUAGGAAGCAGGCGCUCAUGCUUGGAGACCUGCAGAGCACGAACUGCAGCAUGUAUGCCGAAAUAAACAGCUAUUGCCUAUUUAAAAUAGAACCAAUGUAAGGCAAGGCCCCUUUUUUGCUGUACUGUGCUUGCGAAUUGCAAAGCAAUGAUAAGACACAAUGUAGAAAGAAACAUUUUCUUUUAUUUGGCGGACAUUAGAGUGGCAUCAAAAAAAAAAAAGACUAUUGAGCCGCCCCAAGUCAGUCACUACACUAAGUAGCUCCACUGCAAUUCACAUGACCUAGGAAUCCCAGCCAUACAACCAAAUGAUUAUUCGUAUAAGUGACGAUCAAGAUCAUUCUUCACUUGAAUGCCACGGAGCGCUGUUCAGUAACAGCAGUCAGUUUGUGUCCCUGCAAGCAGGAAUAUUAAUUCGUGUUUUGGUUAUUGGUGACAUAACAAAAUUUAUAGUUUUCUGGCCCAUCAGAUGUUUGAAUCAGAAAUAACUUCUCCAAAGAUGUACACCUUGCCACCGGUACAUGCAGGAUGAUUUGCGGUGGCCAGAGACUUUUGAGUGGGACUUCGGUACCAAUGGAGGUAUAAUGUGUGUGCAUGCUUCAGUACAAGGGAGAUUGGAGGCAGCAUCAAGGCAACCUAUAGGCACUGUAUGAAAAAUCUUGAAAGCUAUGCUAUUUGUUAAUGCUCUUCUGCCCUCUGCACUUGAUAGAAUACUUUCCAGGUUUAAUUUCAAUCAGAAAAGAAAUUUAGUAUUUUCUCAUGCUACCUUGACAUGCAAACAAGUUUUUGUCAUGUAGGAGGAGGAGGGGAGGGUUAGGUUAAACUACAACACAAUCUAUAAGUUUUUCAGCGUCCUAUUUCAUGUGUGGUACACUUUCUUUAAUUUGGCUUGCUGACCUGGCAGUCGCAUAGUCUUAGGCCAGGGAUGACUGGAUGGGAGAAGACAAUGAGGGAUACUGUUCAUUGUUUAAUAUGCGCUUGUGUACUAUAAUAUGUAAAAAUAAAGAAACGAGUGAUAUUUUUAUGCUUCAA
Non-coding RNA from Dermacentor andersoni, 1441 nucleotides. The record is from RefSeq and is a predicted model, not a curated record. NCBI's taxonomy places the organism in Eukaryota, Metazoa, Arthropoda, Arachnida, Ixodida, Ixodidae.